CAAGGAGUUGUAUUGGUAUGAGGUUUGCACUAAUGGAGGCUAAAGCAUGUUUAGUGAGUAUAUUGAGGAAGUAUAGGUUUGAAAGAUCACCUGAUACUCAGGUGCCAUUGCAGCGGAAAUUUAGCCUCACACAAUCUCCAAAGAAUGGGAUAUAUUUGAAACUUAUCAAAGUUUAGAAGAGUUACAUCCUAUCCCAUAUAAUCAUAAAAAAUUGCUUGUUAACAGUUAUAAUAACUAUAGUUUUAAUGAGUUUUUUUAGCUUUUCUAAUGCACCUAUUAUUUGCUGCAAACAAUAAUUAAUUUGAUCUAAAAGAAUUUUAAGAAUUCAUAGAUUAAUGGGUGUGUCUAAAUCUAUCAGUGAAUCAGUGAAAUUCUUAAUAAUGUGGAUCAUUCUUUUUUCUCUUGCUUCUCUGCUUCUACUCUAUUGCUGGUACUUUUUUUGUUAUGCUCCUUACCGAGUUCUCAAGAGACUUGGUAUCACUCAUCCUCCAGUGAGGCCUUUCAUGGGAAAUGCAUUACAAGUAUUGAAACUGGGGUAUAAUGAUCUUCUGACCAAAUGGAUCAAUGAGAACGGAAAAGUAUUUGGGUAAGCUAGUAUCA
Molecule: long non-coding RNA, 600 nt
Filed under: Amphimedon queenslandica
Lineage: Eukaryota; Metazoa; Porifera; Demospongiae; Haplosclerida; Niphatidae
Description: uncharacterized LOC109589691, transcript variant X1
Source: RNAcentral